RNAcentral lists this ribosomal RNA (396 nucleotides) under uncultured bacterium. RNAcentral describes it as "bacterial SSU rRNA". It matches the Rfam family "Bacterial small subunit ribosomal RNA", at positions 28 to 429 of the family's 1533-position model. The record is from RNAcentral.
GACGAACGCUGGCGGCGUGCUUAACACAUGCAAGUCGAGCGGUAAGGCCCUUUCGGGGGUACACGAGCGGCGAACGGGUGAGUAACACGUGGGUGACCUGCCCUCAGCUCUGGGAUAAGCCUGGGAAACCGGGUCUAAUACUGGAUAUGACUCCAUGACGCAUAUUGUGGGGUGGAAAGCCUUGUGCGGCUGAGGAUGGGCCCGCGGCCUAUCAGCUUGUUGGUGGGGNGAUGGCCUACCAAGGCGACGACGGGUAGCCGGCCUGAGAGGGCGACCGGCCACACUGGGACUGAGACACGGCCCAGACUCCUACGGGAGGCAGCAGUGGGGAAUCUCGCGCAAUGGGCGAAAGCCUGACGCAGCGACGCCGCGUGAGGGAUGACGGCCUGGUGUAAC